CAAAAUGUAGCUUAACUAAAGCAUUUCGCUUACACCGAACUUAUAUCCGUGCAACUCCGAUCAUUUUGA
This 69-nucleotide transfer RNA is filed under the name Ameerega bassleri (pleasing poison frog). Its description in RNAcentral is "tRNA-Val". It matches the Rfam family "tRNA". From Rfam's summary of the family: Transfer RNA (tRNA) molecules are approximately 80 nucleotides in length. Lineage: Eukaryota; Metazoa; Chordata; Amphibia; Anura; Dendrobatidae. RNAcentral also lists the same sequence under 5 other names. The record is from RNAcentral.